GGCUUCGUAGUCGAGUAGUAAGGACACUUGCCUCUCAUCCUGGAGUCCCAGGUUCAAUCUCUGGUCGAGGAUCU
This is a non-coding RNA of Rhamnusium bicolor, 74 nucleotides long. Lineage: Eukaryota; Metazoa; Arthropoda; Insecta; Coleoptera; Cerambycidae. The record is from the annotation of a GenBank genome assembly.